Molecule: ribosomal RNA, 274 nt
Filed under: uncultured bacterium
Lineage: Bacteria
Description: partial 16S ribosomal RNA
Rfam family: Bacterial small subunit ribosomal RNA
Source: RNAcentral
AUACGGAGGGUGCAAGCGUUACUCGGAAUCACUGGGCGUAAAGCGCGCGCAGGCGGGCUGAUAAGUUGGAUGUGAAAGCCUACGGCUCAACCGUAGAACUGCAUCCAAAACUGUCAGUCUAGAGUGUGGGAGAGGAAGAUGGAAUUAGUUGUGUAGGGGUAAAAUCCGUAGAGAUAACUAGGAAUACCAAAAGCGAAGGCAAUCUUCUGGAACACUACUGACGCUGAGGCGCGAAGGCGUGGGGAGCAAACAGGAUUAGAUACCCUUGUAGUCC